Sphaeramia orbicularis (orbiculate cardinalfish) is the source of this 812-nucleotide long non-coding RNA. RefSeq lists it as uncharacterized. The record is from RefSeq and is a predicted model, not a curated record. NCBI's taxonomy places the organism in Eukaryota, Metazoa, Chordata, Actinopteri, Kurtiformes, Apogonidae. The transcript is spliced from 3 exons.
AAUGUUAAUUAAUUUUUCACCUAUAUGAUAAAAUGUGAUUAAUCAUCCCCAUAUUUGCUGAAGCUGAAUCAUUAGUCUCAAAGGGUAAAAAAAAUUGUGAAAAAUAAAGUCUGUAAAAGAACUUUUUCUCAUCAAGAUUUUGUCCAAAACUCAAUUAUUCAAAAGUUUUGCUAUUUGAGAAAAAUAAGUUUGUUGCGCUGUUUCUGAUUAGAGUCCACAAGAAAGAAAGCAGAUUUGAGAAGGUAGUUUGAUAUUUUGUUUAAUUUUAUUAAAUCAGUCAAAUCAAGUGUAAAUGAAUCCUUUUGUGUGUUAAUGGUGUCGGUUUCAAACUUAAAAUGGAGGAAUUUGGAGUCAAAAUGUCCAUUAUUAAAUCACGUCUAUCAUAUAUGAUAAACAUUAGCUGUCGUUGACUUUUAAACCAUCUAAUGGGUCUAUUUUGGUGAAAAACUGCAGCUGAUGUCAGAUUUUUGCACCAAGUCUCCUCAGCUGUGACGCGGACUCCAUUUCCCAGGAGGCCUUUCGCGCCGGAGCCCAGGUGAACUGAUGGAGCACGCGCCGCGGUUUCACCCGGGACACGGAGGAAAAACAAACGUGGACCAAAACCUGGACCAAAACCUGGACCCGGUGCCUUUUUGUGACCCGUUCCGACCCGGUUGGAGUUUCAAGGCUCCUGGAACUGGACCCGGACCUGGACCCGGACCUGGACCUGGGUUCCCCUUAAAGGUGUGGUCAGUGAAUGCAUCACCAGUGAUGCAGAUGAGCUGCAGUGACCCAUGGACGAUUAAAGGACACUUCCAGUGUCAUAUUUGAAG